Cyanistes caeruleus (blue tit) is the source of this 1009-nucleotide non-coding RNA. The record is from RefSeq and is a predicted model, not a curated record. NCBI's taxonomy places the organism in Eukaryota, Metazoa, Chordata, Aves, Passeriformes, Paridae.
AACAGGCACACUCACGAUGCCAGUUUUUAUCAGAAAUGUGUCUGUGGCACGGUACACAAAUCUCUUCUCCACAGCAGCUGGUAAUUAUAAUGCUCUGGAUUAUUAUAUUAUGAAUUGUUCUCUCUUUUACCCAUUCAAAAGCUAAUACAGCAAGGAUUCUUUGGUCCAAAUUCUCUAUUAAUCAAACAGCUGCAUCCAGAGAUCCAUCCUUGUGUCUCAAAGAUAUUCCUAAAAAAUCACUAAAACACUUUCCCAAAGUUAACUGAUGAAGCACACGAUGUAAACAAGCUGAGCAUAUCAAUUGUCUUUCUCUUUCAUUUACUCUGGUUGCUCUCCACCAUGAAUCAAGGCAAUUAUUACAAACAACAUGAAUCCAUGGGCGACACUCUAAACCGUGCUUAGUACAACUCCAUAGUGUUAUUUGUUCUUGUACCUUUUUGGUAAUAGAUGUUACUAGUUUCUUCCUAUGGAGUUGUAAUUCACUGACAAAAUCUAUUAAUGUUAUUCUCUGAGGGAGUGUUAAAAUAUUUUCAAUCCGUCUCGGUUGUUCCCACAGAUCCAAAAAGCGUCGGAUUCUUUCCCACCUGCGUUGUUCUGCGUCCGGAUUUAAUGGAGUUCCUGUCAGCAGCCAAUCCAGAAUGCCUGUUUUCUCUAAUGGAUUAAAGUUAGUUGCAAUCAUAAAGCACAAACUCUUUACUGAUUAAUUAUCAGGAGAAAUCUUAUUGUAUCCACAUCACACUUGUAUUACUCUCUGUUGCUCUUGCAGUGUCCUUAAAGCCACCAUUCAUUCUGAGCAGUAAGCUAAAUAAACAAAUGCUCUUUGUGCUUGAUCUUCUAUUCUAAAUUGCUGCAGGGUCCAGCUGUCCUAUACCGAUGUCGUUGUCUUAUCCUUUUAAUUCUUAUCGCUUCACACCGCUCACGUUUUGCUAUACAGGAAGGGGCACACAAAUGACCCUGUUUGCUACAACCCUGUUGAAAUAAAGAAACCACUUUCUGUGGGAUGACAGUU